CCUACGGGCGGCAGCAGUGGGGAAUAUUGGACAAUGGGGGCAACCCUGAUCCAGCCAUGCCGCGUGUGUGAAGAAGGCCCUCGGGUUGUAAAGCACUUUCAGUGAGGAAGAACGCCUGGUGGUUAAUACCCAUCAGGAAAGACAUCACUCACAGAAGAAGCACCGGCUAACUCCGUGCCAGCAGGCGCGGUAAUACGGAGGGUGCGAGCGUUAAUCGGAAUUACUGGGCGUAAAGCGCGCGUAGGUGGCUUGAUAAGCCGGUUGUGAAAGCCCCGGGCUCAACCUGGGAACGGCAUCCGGAACUGUCAAGCUAGAGUGCAGGAGAGGAAGGUAGAAUUCCCGGUGUAGCGGUGAAAUGCGUAGAGAUCGGGAGGAAUACCAGUGGCGAAGGCGGCCUUCUGGACUGACACUGACACUGAGGUGCGAAAGCGUGGGUAGCAAACAGGAUUAGAUACCCGUGUAGUC
RNAcentral lists this ribosomal RNA (465 nucleotides) under Vreelandella stevensii. Its description in RNAcentral is "partial 16S ribosomal RNA". It matches the Rfam family "Bacterial small subunit ribosomal RNA", at positions 338 to 795 of the family's 1533-position model. The record is from RNAcentral. Lineage: Bacteria; Pseudomonadati; Pseudomonadota; Gammaproteobacteria; Oceanospirillales; Halomonadaceae.